CCUACGGGAGGCAGCAGUAGGGAAUAUUGCUCAAUGGGGGAAACCCUGAAGCAGCAACGCCGCGUGGAGGAUGAAGGUUUUCGGAUUGUAAACUCCUUUUGUUAGAGAAGAUAAUGACGGUAUCUAACGAAUAAGCACCGGCUAACUCCGUGCCAGCAGCCGUGGUACUACGGAGGGUGCAAGCGUUACUCGGAAUCACUGGGCGGAAAGGGCGCGUAGGCGGGGUAGCAAGUCAGAUGUGAAAUGCUAUGGCUUAAACAUAAAACUGCAUUUGAAACUGUGAUUCUAGAGUAUGGGAGAGGUAAGUGGAAUUCUUGGUGUAGGGGUGAAAUCCGUAGAGAUCAAGAGGAAUACUCAUUGCGAAGGCGACCUGCUAGAACAUAACUGACGCUGAUGCUCGAAAGCGUGGGGAGCAAACAGGAUUAGAUACCCUUGUAGUC
RNAcentral lists this ribosomal RNA (440 nucleotides) under uncultured bacterium. Its description in RNAcentral is "partial 16S ribosomal RNA". It matches the Rfam family "Bacterial small subunit ribosomal RNA", at positions 338 to 795 of the family's 1533-position model. The record is from RNAcentral.